RNAcentral lists this ribosomal RNA (487 nucleotides) under Callistoctopus minor (long arm octopus). RNAcentral's name for it is "partial 16S ribosomal RNA". Lineage: Eukaryota; Metazoa; Mollusca; Cephalopoda; Octopoda; Octopodidae. The record is from RNAcentral.
GUGGGGCCUGCUCGGUGAGAAGAAAAAUUUAACAGCUGCGGUAUUAUAACUGUACUAAGGUAGCAUAAUAAUUUGCCUUAUAAAUUAAGGAUAGAAAGAAUGGUUUGACGAAAAUUAGACUGUCUUUAUUUUAUUUGUUAGAAAUUAAUUUUUAUAGUGAAAAAGCUUGAAUAAUUUAAGGGGACGAGAAGACCCUAUUGAGCUUUAUUUAUUAAUAUUUAAAUAUAAAUAUAUAAUUUAUAUUAUGAAAAUUAUGUUGUAUAUAUAUAUAUAUAUAUAUUUAAUUGGAUUUAAUUUUGAUUGGGGUGAUCAAGGAAUAAAGAUAAAGUAACUUCCUUAAAAUUAAUGAUUGUUUUUAUAGAGUAAUAAACCAAGUUUUUUGCUUAUAAGAUAAGUUACCAUAGGGGUAACAGCGUAAUUUUUUUUGAGAGUUCAUAUUGAAAAAAGAGAUUGCGACCUCGAUGUUGGAUUAAAAAUUACCUUAAGG